RNAcentral lists this ribosomal RNA (469 nucleotides) under uncultured organism. RNAcentral describes it as "bacterial SSU rRNA". It matches the Rfam family "Bacterial small subunit ribosomal RNA", at positions 29 to 507 of the family's 1533-position model. The record is from RNAcentral.
AGCGAACGCUAGCGGGAUGCCUCAAACAUGCAAGUCGAACGCGAAAGGGUAGCAAUAUCCGAGUAGAGUGGCGCACGGGUGCGUAACACGUAGCUAACAUACCUCCUUGCUGGGGAUAACUCCGGGAAACCGGAGCUAAUACCGAAUCGUCUGUCGGGGUCUGCGGACCCUGCCAGCAAAGCCGUAAGGCGCGAGGAGAUUGGGCUGCGGUCCAUUAGCUUGUUGGUAGGGUAACGGCCUACCAAAGCGACGAUGGAUAGCUGGUCUGAGAGGAUGAUCAGCCACACUGGAACUGACACACGGUCCAGACUCCCACGGGAGGCAGCAGUUGGGAAUAUUGGACAAUGGGGGCAACCCUGAUCCAGCAAUCCCGCGUGAGUGAUGAAGGCCUUCGGGUCGUAAAGCUCUUUUAGUGAGGACAAAGGGAAACUUGAUGGUACUCACAGAAAAAGCACCGGCUAACUCCGUG